Molecule: non-coding RNA, 536 nt
Organism: Xyrichtys novacula (pearly razorfish)
Lineage: Eukaryota; Metazoa; Chordata; Actinopteri; Labriformes; Labridae
Source: the annotation of a GenBank genome assembly
CUGAGGCUGAGUGAGACUACACACCUGCACUGCAUCUACAAUCAAGGCCCUAUAAGAAGCCAGCAGCCCUCAGUCUCAGUGCUUAAGUAUUGUCUUCACUCCUGAGUGGUACAGACGCAUCUCCUGGCCUUCUUCUCGGAUAAGUACUUGUGACUUUUUGCUCCAUGUGAAUUUUUGUAUGUCUUCUCACUUCCAUCUCCUCUGUUUCUCCACAGUGUCUCCAGCCCACACAACAGCCAGCCAGCAAACCAGACUUUCCUCGUGUCUUUUUCCCCUGAGUUUGGACAUUAAAAUUACAUCUUAAUUUGCUAUCUGCCUCUGUGUCUGCAUCUGGGUCCUCAAAAUACACCAUAUGCCACAGUAACCUAACACACUCUUGUCAUUUUGUUUGAGUAUGCAUCUGUUGACUGAUCUGAGGACAGCACACAUGAAGCUGCUGCAGAUCUGACCUAUUGUUUUGUGACUGCAUUGGUGGAACUGUUUAAAGUCUGAUCUUUAGUCUCCUUAUUUCACAGAUGUACAUGUAGGAGCAGAAA